This 789-nucleotide ribosomal RNA is filed under the name uncultured archaeon. RNAcentral describes it as "bacterial SSU rRNA". It matches the Rfam family "Archaeal small subunit ribosomal RNA", at positions 85 to 879 of the family's 1478-position model. The record is from RNAcentral.
ACGGCUCAGUAACACGUGGACAACNUACCCUAUGGAGGGGGAUAACCCCGGGAAACUGGGGAUAAUACCCCAUAGACUAUAGAUGCUGGAAUGCUUUGUAGUUGAAAGGUCAGCCGCCAUAGGAUGGGUCUGCGGCCGAUUAGGUAGUUGUUGGGGUAACGGCCCAACAAGCCUGUAAUCGGUACGGGUUGUGGGAGCAAGAGCCCGGAGAUGGAUUCUGAGACACGAAUCCAGGCCCUACGGGGCGCAGCAGGCGCGAAAACUUUACAAUGCGGGAAACCGUGAUAAGGGAACUCCGAGUGCCCGUAAAAUCGGGCUGUCCAUCUGUGUAAAUAACAGGUGAAGAAAGGGCCGGGCAAGACCGGUGCCAGCCGCCGCGGUAAUACCGGCGGCUCGAGUGGUGGCCACUAUUACUGGGCUUAAAGCGUUCGUAGCUGGUCUGUUAAGUCUCUGGGGAAAUCUACUGGCUUAACCAAUAGGCGUCUCAGGGAUACUGGCAGACUAGGGACCGGGAGAGGUGAGAGGUACUCCAGGGGUAGGAGUGAAAUCCUGUAAUCCUUGGGGGACCACCUGUGGCGAAGGCGUCUCACCAGAACGGCUCCGACAGUGAGGGACGAAAGCUGGGGGAGCAAACCGGAUUAGAUACCCGGGUAGUCCCAGCCGUAAACGAUGCGCGUUAGGUGUAUCGGUGACCACGAGUCACCGACGUGCCGAAGAGAAAUCGUGAAACGUGCCGCCUGGGAAGUACGGUCGCAAGGCUGAAACUUAAAGGAAUUGGCGGGGGAGCAC